AGCUUGCUAGAACCUGUAUACAGGUGCUGCACGGCUGUCGCCAGCUCGUGUCGUGAGAUGUUGGGUUAAGUCCCGCAACGAGCGCAACCCACGUGAUUAGUUACUAACAGUUCGGCUGAGGACUCUAAUCAGACUGCCUUCGUAAGGAGGAGGAAGGUGUGGACGACGUCAAGUCAUCAUGGCCCUUACGGCCAGGGCUACACACGUGCUACAAUGGGGUAUACAGAGAGCCGCAAUACCGCGAGGUGGAGCAAAUCUUAAAAAUAUCUCCCAGUUCGGAUAGUAGUCUGCAACUCGACUACUUGAAGUUGGAAUCGCUAGUAAUCGUAGAUCAGCAAUGCUACGGUGAAUACGUUCCCGGGUCUUGUACUCACCGCCCGUCACACCAUGGGAGUUGAAUUCAUUCGAAGCGGGGAUGCUAAAAUAGCUACCUUCCACAGUGGAUUUAGUAACUAGGGUGAAGUCGUAACAAGGUA
RNAcentral lists this ribosomal RNA (476 nucleotides) under uncultured bacterium. RNAcentral's name for it is "bacterial SSU rRNA". It matches the Rfam family "Bacterial small subunit ribosomal RNA", at positions 1014 to 1498 of the family's 1533-position model. The record is from RNAcentral.